UUGAACGCUGGCGGAAUGCUUUACACCUGCAAGUCGAGCGGCAGCACGGGGGCAACCCUGGUGGCGAGCGGCGAACGGGUGAGUAACACAUCGGAACAUGCCCAGUCGUGGGGGAUAACACUUCGAAAGAAGUGCUAAUACCGCAUACGUCCUGAGGGAGAAAGCGGGGGAUCGCAAGACCCCGCGCGAUUGGAGUGGCCGAUGUCAGAUUAGCUAGUUGGUGGGGUAAAGGCCUACCAAGGCAACGAUCUGUAGCUGGUCUGAGAGGAUGAUCAGCCACACUGGGACUGAGACACGGCCCAGACUCCUACGGGAGGCAGCAGUGGGGAAUUUUGGACAAUGGGGGCAACCCUGAUCCAGCCAUUCCGCGUGAGUGAAGAAGGCCUUCGGGUUGUAAAGCUCUUUCGGCAGGAACGAAACGGUGAGCUCUAACAUAGCUUGCUAAUGACGGUACCUGAAGAAGAAGCACCGGCUAACUACGUG
Molecule: ribosomal RNA, 483 nt
Filed under: uncultured bacterium
Lineage: Bacteria
Description: partial 16S ribosomal RNA
Rfam family: Bacterial small subunit ribosomal RNA
Source: RNAcentral